GAACUGUUGACGAGUCCCAAAUAGAACGAAACAGCCGUCUAGUGC
Molecule: non-coding RNA, 45 nt
Filed under: Echinostoma caproni
Lineage: Eukaryota; Metazoa; Platyhelminthes; Trematoda; Plagiorchiida; Echinostomatidae
Source: RNAcentral